Molecule: ribosomal RNA, 446 nt
Filed under: uncultured bacterium
Lineage: Bacteria
Description: bacterial SSU rRNA
Rfam family: Bacterial small subunit ribosomal RNA
Source: RNAcentral
GUCCAGACUCCUACGGGAGGCAGCAGUGGGGAAUAUUGCACAAUGGGGGAAACCCUGAUGCAGCGACGCCGCGUGAGUGAAGAAGUAUUUCGGUAUGUAAAGCUCUAUCAGCAGGGAAGAAAAUGACGGUACCUGAUUAAGAAGCCCCGGCUAACUACGUGCCAGCAGCCGCGGUAAUACGUAGGGGGCGAGCGUUAUCCGGAUUCACUGGGUGUAAAGGGAGCGUAGACGGCCAUGCAAGCCAGGGGUGAAAGCCCGGGGCCCAACCCCGGGACUGCUCUUGGAACUGCAUGGCUGGAGUGCGGGAGGGGCAGGCGGAAUUCCUGGUGUAGCGGUGAAAUGCGUAGAUAUCAGGAGGAACACCAGUGGCGAAGGCGGCUUACUGGACUGUAACUGACGUUGAGGCUCGAAAGCGUGGGGAGCAAACAGGAUUAGAUACCCGAGUA